AGUUAGGCCAAAGACUUGUCUGGGGAGCCAACUCAGUUCACGUUGUUGUGUUUAAGUGCGAACUAUUUAAUGGUUUGAUUCUAGUGAGAUAGAGAUUGUAGAGUUGUGCGUUGACGUAAGAUGCAGAAAAUUCAACUCAUCUGAGCCAACACCACGACAUUCAUCAAAAUGGAGGCAGCUGAAUUUCUUCUUCAAUGGAAAACGCAGCACCGGUCGGCCCAGUCGUCCAGAACAUCAAAACCAUCAACAAACAAAUUCGGGUCGGAUUGAAACCUGAACCCUUUACUAUGGAUUCCCCCGUUCUCCGCAAUUUCAAUUGCAGUCUACCUGAGCUGAGACAUUUGUUUCCUGGUUGUUCUAGUCACGAAGAGCUUUACAAUUUAAGCAUCAAUCAGACGGACAUCUUUUGGGGUACUCUUGCCCGUUUGCGCCUGCGUUGGAACCGCGACUUCCAGCAAGUUUCGGAUUGCAACAUGGAAACGGGCUCGUUUCGUUGGUUCCUGGGAGGCCAACUUAAUG
Daphnia pulicaria is the source of this 519-nucleotide long non-coding RNA. RefSeq lists it as uncharacterized. The record is from RefSeq and is a predicted model, not a curated record. NCBI's taxonomy places the organism in Eukaryota, Metazoa, Arthropoda, Branchiopoda, Diplostraca, Daphniidae. The transcript is spliced from 4 exons.